CAUUUACUUUUCUCAUAUAUUUUUUCUUUAAAAAGUUUUAUAAAUCGAUCUCCUCUUUCAAACAACUCGAUCGAUAACGUUUAGAUGAGAACCACUGCGACGAAGCAGAUUAUCCUAUAAAGGAGUAGACUGACCUGACAAACGCAGCUGUCCUUGGCCUCGCAAAAAGCCAAAAUUAGAAAUGGCACUUAGUAACUCGGAGAAAGAGAUUAGAGAAGGCAUAUACAGAAAGAAAGAGAUGAGAAGUGCCUGAAAGCCUGCUGUACAGUUGUCUCGAACGGAAAUGGGAUAAUGUAAUUGUCUCUCCUAUCAGUAGGGGAUUACUCAGUUCUCUA
Molecule: long non-coding RNA, 335 nt
Organism: Apis dorsata (giant honeybee)
Lineage: Eukaryota; Metazoa; Arthropoda; Insecta; Hymenoptera; Apidae
Exons: 2
Source: RefSeq, a predicted model, not a curated record